RNAcentral lists this ribosomal RNA (147 nucleotides) under uncultured bacterium. Its description in RNAcentral is "partial 16S ribosomal RNA". It matches the Rfam family "Bacterial small subunit ribosomal RNA", at positions 355 to 519 of the family's 1533-position model. The record is from RNAcentral.
UGGGGGAUAUUGCACAAUGGGGGAAACCCUGAUGCAGCGACGCCGCGUGGGUGAAGAAGCGCCUCGGCGCGUAAAGCCCUGUCAGCAGGGAAGAAAAUGACGGUACCUGAAGAAGAAGCCCCGGCUAACUACGUGCCAGCAGCCGCG